GUGGGGAAUAUUGCACAAUGGGCGAAAGCCUGAUGCAGCAACGCCGCGUGAGGGACGACGGCCUUCGGGUUGUAAACCUCUUUUAGUAGGGAAGAAGCGAAAGUGACGGUACCUGCAGAAAAAGCACCGGCUAACUACGUGCCAGCAGCCGCGGUAAUACGUAGGGUGCAAGCGUUGUCCGGAAUUAUUGGGCGUAAAGAGCUCGUAGGCGGCUUGUCGCGUCUGCUGUGAAAUCCCGGGGCUCAACCCCGGGCCUGCAGUGGGUACGGGCAGGCUAGAGUGCGGUAGGGGAGAUUGGAAUUCCUGGUGUAGCGGUGGAAUGCGCAGAUAUCAGGAGGAACACCGAUGGCGAAGGCAGAUCUCUGGGCCGCUACUGACGCUGAGGAGCGAAAGCAUGGGGAGCGAACAGGAUUAGAAACCCGAGUAGUCC
RNAcentral lists this ribosomal RNA (430 nucleotides) under uncultured bacterium. Its description in RNAcentral is "partial 16S ribosomal RNA". It matches the Rfam family "Bacterial small subunit ribosomal RNA", at positions 354 to 796 of the family's 1533-position model. The record is from RNAcentral.